RNAcentral lists this ribosomal RNA (468 nucleotides) under uncultured bacterium. Its description in RNAcentral is "partial 16S ribosomal RNA". It matches the Rfam family "Bacterial small subunit ribosomal RNA", at positions 28 to 507 of the family's 1533-position model. The record is from RNAcentral.
GACGAACGCUGGCGGCGUGCUUAACACAUGCAAGUCGAACGGAAAGGCCCUGCUUUUGUUGGGUUCUCGAGUGGCGAACGGGUGAGUAACACGUGAGUAACCUGCCCUUGACUUUGUGAUAACUUCAGGAAACUGGGGCUAAUACCGGAUAGGAGCUCCUGCUGCAUGGUGGGGGUUGGAAAGUUUCGGCGGUUGGGGAUGGACUAGCGGCUUAUCAGCUUGUUGGUGGGGUAGUGGAUUACCAAGGUUUUGACGGGUAGCCGGCCUGAGAGGUUGACCGGCCACAUUGGUACUGAGAUACGGCCCAGACUCCUACGUGAGGCAGCAGUGGAGAAUAUUGCACAAUGGGCGGAAGCCUGAUGCAGCAACGCCGCGUUCGGGAUGACGGCCUUCGGGUUGUAAACCGCUUUCUACUUUGACGAAGCGUGAUUGACGGUAAUGAGUAAAGAAGCACCGGCUAACUACGUG